CCUACGGGGGGCAGCAGUGAGGAAUAUUGGUCAAUGGCCGUAAGGCUGAACCAGCCAAGUCGCGUGAAGGAAGAAGGAUCUAUGGUUUGUAAACUUCUUUUAUAGGGGAAUAAAGGUAUCCACGUGUGGAUAUUUGCAUGUACCCUAUGAAUAAGCAUCGGCUAACUCCGUGCCAGCAGCCGCGGUAAUACGGAGGAUGCGAGCGUUAUCCGGAUUUAUUGGGUUUAAAGGGUGCGUAGGUUGUUUUUUAAGUCAGCGGUGAAAGUUUGUGGCUCAACCAUAAAAUUGCCGUUGAAACUGGAAGACUUGAGUGUGUUUGAGGUAGGCGGAAUGCGUGGUGUAGCGGUGAAAUGCAUAGAUAUCACGCAGAACUCCGAUUGCGAAGGCAGCUUACUAAGCCAUAACUGACACUGAAGCUCGAAAGUGUGGGUAUCAAACAGGAUUAGAUACCCCAGUAGUC
This 460-nucleotide ribosomal RNA is filed under the name uncultured bacterium. RNAcentral's name for it is "partial 16S ribosomal RNA". It matches the Rfam family "Bacterial small subunit ribosomal RNA", at positions 338 to 795 of the family's 1533-position model. The record is from RNAcentral.